This 253-nucleotide ribosomal RNA is filed under the name uncultured bacterium. Its description in RNAcentral is "partial 16S ribosomal RNA". It matches the Rfam family "Bacterial small subunit ribosomal RNA", at positions 524 to 776 of the family's 1533-position model. The record is from RNAcentral.
UACGAAGGGGGCUAGCGUUGCUCGGAAUCACUGGGCGUAAAGCGCACGUAGGCGGAUCUUUAAGUCAGGGGUGAAAUCCUGGAGCUCAACUCCAGAACUGCCUUUGAUACUGGGGAUCUCGAGUCCGGAAGAGGUGAGUGGAACUCCGAGUGUAGAGGUGAAAUUCGUAGAUAUUCGGAAGAACACCAGUGGCGAAAGCGCUCUACUGGGCCAUAACUGACACUGAGGGACGAAAGCUAGGGGAGCGAAAGGG